Molecule: transfer RNA, 74 nt
Filed under: archaeon
Lineage: Archaea
Also listed under: 3 other names
Description: tRNA-Pro
Rfam family: tRNA
About the family: Transfer RNA (tRNA) molecules are approximately 80 nucleotides in length.
Source: RNAcentral
GGCCUGGUAGUGAAGCCUGGCAUCAUGAUACGUUCGGGACGCAUUGAGCGUGGGUUCGAAUCCCACUCAGGCCA